UCUUCAUUGGUUUCAUGCUGAUGUUCGGAU
Molecule: non-coding RNA, 30 nt
Filed under: Rattus norvegicus (Norway rat)
Lineage: Eukaryota; Metazoa; Chordata; Mammalia; Rodentia; Muridae
Source: RNAcentral